CUGGGCCACUGAAUUAAGGACAAGCAAACCAGUUAAACGUCCAAGGUAUCAGAGAUAUUCAUAUCAAGAUUACUUACAGAAUAACAAACAAACAACAGGAGCUUAGCCUGAAAAGGAAGUUUCAGGAGGAUAUGCAUGAAUUCUGUGAAAUCUUGAAAUAUAUAAACAAGAAGAACACCAAUUUACUUAGCAAAAUCAAGACUACAAGAAUCGUGGUUAACAAAAAGAGGACAAUGAUUUUACGUUUUGAUGCAUCCAUUUUGACCAUGUAAAAACAGACAAGGGAAUUCAAUAUUACUGUGUUAAAAUAUCUACAUAUGUGAUGAAUGAAACCAACCAAUCAGG
Molecule: long non-coding RNA, 345 nt
Filed under: Equus caballus (horse)
Lineage: Eukaryota; Metazoa; Chordata; Mammalia; Perissodactyla; Equidae
Description: lncRNA (ENSECAG00000045849.1)
Source: RNAcentral